Long non-coding RNA from Acanthaster planci (crown-of-thorns starfish), 841 nucleotides. NCBI's taxonomy places the organism in Eukaryota, Metazoa, Echinodermata, Asteroidea, Valvatida, Acanthasteridae. The record is from RefSeq and is a predicted model, not a curated record.
UCACCAUCCGCCUCGCUGGAGUGACUGUUUCCGCUUCACCAUACUCCGAGGCUCGCUACUAUCUGGACGAGCUUAUUCUGAGCUCGGAUCCUGCCGAAAUUCAGACCUACUUCGACUGUACGCCUAGAGUUCCAAGUUCGAGUCCAGAAACCUCAGAUCGAAGGAUGGUGCCACGUCCGACGUUCCGCUUGUUGAUCCAAAGGAUAAUUUCAAGCUGGACGAUCGGGAUAGACGAGAGGAGGAAGACUCUUCGGACGAGGAUGACUAGCCUCCGUGGCUAGGACGGUUAUUGUAGCCAAGGUAUACCUAACCCUAGCACCACGGUAACACCCCUGUUUGAGAGUAUAAUCACCACAGGAGUUUGUGUUGGAACGAGAUAUUGCAUGGAACGCUGUUGCUUGAGUGUCUCUUUUCUGAUGAAUUUAACAUCUGCAGCCCACGACUCACUGCAUAUAGAAAAAUGAAGUUAUUAAAGGAGAGUAUAAUUUACAGUUUACUGUAAUGUCGCAAAGAAGACAGGUAGUUCCAAUUAAACAGGGUAUUUUGCUGUUAUUGUUCUUUGUGUUUUUCUAGUUUUUUAUGCGCUUUGCAUCAUUCUGGGACACAGGUUUUUCGGCCACCUUCAAGAUGACAUCUGCUCAGAAUGAUUAGUAUAGGCCUAUAAAGAGCACUUUGGCCCAUUUGCAAAGCACACUGUCAUGCUUGGGAUUGUUCUGGUGAUAGCGAUCACAAUAGCUAUUUGCAAGUAACAUUUGUACCCGACACAUGAAACAUUGACAUGGGCGUCCCUAGGAAGGGGAGGGUUAGCUCUUCCGAAUGGGGGAAGAUAGUAACAAAAGUA